Molecule: ribosomal RNA, 505 nt
Filed under: Sympetrum frequens
Lineage: Eukaryota; Metazoa; Arthropoda; Insecta; Odonata; Libellulidae
Description: partial 16S rRNA
Source: RNAcentral
AAGAAUUUAAAGGUCGAACAGACCUAUACAUUAAGCGGCUACACCUAAUUAUUAUCUUAAUCCAACAUCGAGGUCGCAAGCCCUCCUGUAAAUAUGAACUCUGGAGGAGGAUUACGCUGUUAUCCCUAAGGUAACUUAUUCUAACAAUCACUAAAAAUGGAUCUAAUACUCAUAUAUAAAUGGUAAAUAAAUGAAAAAGUUAGUUAUAUAUUUUUGUCACCCCAACAAAAUAUAAUUUAAAUAUAAUUACAUUAAUAUAUAAAUAAAUAAAUAAAAUUAUAUAAAGAUCUAUAGGGUCUUCUCGUCUUCCAAUAAAAUUUUAGCUUUUUAACUAAAAAAUUAAAUUCUAAAACAAAUAAAAUGAGACAGCUAGUUCCUCGUUAAACCAUUCAUUCCAGCCCUCUAUUAAAAGACUAAUGAUUAUGCUACCUUUGCACGGUCAAUAUACCGCGGCCGUUAAAUUCAUCACUGGGCAGGUCAGACCUUAAAUUAAAUUCAAAAGGCC